Molecule: transfer RNA, 73 nt
Filed under: Gemmatimonadota bacterium
Lineage: Bacteria; Pseudomonadati; Gemmatimonadota
Also listed under: 3 other names
Description: tRNA-Ala
Rfam family: tRNA
About the family: Transfer RNA (tRNA) molecules are approximately 80 nucleotides in length. Their secondary structure includes four short double-helical elements and three loops (D, anti-codon, and T loops). Further hydrogen bonds mediate the characteristic L-shaped molecular structure. tRNAs have two regions of fundamental functional importance: the anti-codon, which is responsible for specific mRNA codon recognition, and the 3' end, to which the tRNAs corresponding amino acid is attached (by aminoacyl-tRNA synthetases). tRNAs cope with the degeneracy of the genetic code in two manners: having more than one tRNA (with a specific anti-codon) for a particular amino acid; and 'wobble' base-pairing, i.e. permitting non-standard base-pairing at the 3rd anti-codon position.
Source: RNAcentral
GGGGCGUUAGCUCAGCUGGGAGAGCACUGCCUUUGCAAGGCAGGGGUCGCGGGUUCGAAUCCCGCACGCUCCA